Long non-coding RNA from Homo sapiens (human), 337 nucleotides. RefSeq lists it as uncharacterized. The record is from RefSeq and is a predicted model, not a curated record. NCBI's taxonomy places the organism in Eukaryota, Metazoa, Chordata, Mammalia, Primates, Hominidae. The transcript is spliced from 4 exons.
CUUUCUGCGUCUUUAGUCAGAGUACGCUGUUUACCUGGUUGGCUGCCUCUCUUAUUUGGUCCCUUGGUGGCAGGGGCUAAUGGCUCUAUAUAAGACAUGCGCAUUCAUCUACCAACGACAUCUGUGCAGAGCAUGGAACAGCGUAGGUUUGUAAUUGCUCGCUACCCUGAGCUAGGGAAAAUGAACUUCUGACAUUUUGGAGGAAACAGACUUAGCUUCUUUGGUAAGGAACUGCAUACACAGUGGAGAAGAAGACAGAAAAGGCUGUGGCCUGAUGAAGCUUACAUUCAGACAGACAACUCACAAUUCUGAUGACUGGAAAGUCCAAGAUCAUGGC